CUGGAACUGGCUAGGUGGAAGUGCCCAGCCGUGGAGGCGUGUUGUGAAUCCAUCAUCACAAGAUCAUGAAUUCUGCAAGUGCCUGAGGGAGGUGGAAUGGACUUCUCCCUGGCUGUCCCCAGGGUCUCAUGUAAUGGAAGUUAGCCUUGAGCUCACUAUAUUGUCAAGAGUGACCUUGAUCAUGGAUCUCCUGCAUCUACCUCCCAAGUGUUGUGGAAUAAUCUUUUUGUACACUGACAGCACUGGAGACACAAGAUGGACUCAUGUGGAAUAAGGCUGCAGCUUGCAGCUGAAAAGGAAAGUAGCUGAUGGAUGCUGUUCCCCCGCCACACUGGCCCUUCCUUGGUGCAGUGGCAGCCUCCAGCCGCCUCUCUCCUAGGCAUCUCUUGUGGAUUUAUUAAUGCCAGAAGCUUUUUCUUGGU
Molecule: non-coding RNA, 422 nt
Organism: Peromyscus maniculatus bairdii (prairie deer mouse)
Lineage: Eukaryota; Metazoa; Chordata; Mammalia; Rodentia; Cricetidae
Source: RefSeq, a predicted model, not a curated record